Molecule: long non-coding RNA, 2152 nt
Filed under: Canis lupus familiaris (dog)
Lineage: Eukaryota; Metazoa; Chordata; Mammalia; Carnivora; Canidae
Description: lncRNA (ENSCAFG00000054795.1)
Source: RNAcentral
UUUUUUAUUGGUGUUCAAUUUACUAACAUACAGAAUAACCCCCAGUGCCCGUCACCCAUUCACUCCCAACCCCCGCCCUCCUCCCCUUCUACCACCCCUAGUUCGUUUCCCAGAGUUAGCAGUCUUUACGUUCUGUCUCCCUUUCUGAUAUUUCACCACACAUUUCUUCUCCCUUCCCCUUAUAUUCCCUUUCACUAUUAUUUAUAUUCCCAAAUGAAUGAGAAGAUAUUAAUGUUUGUCCUUCUCCGACUGGACUUACUUCACUCAGCAUUAAUACCCUCCAGUUCCAUCCACGUGAAGCACAUGGUGGGUAUUUGUCAUUUUAAUAGCUGAGUAAUAUUCCAUUGUAUACAUAAACCACAUCUUCUUUAUCCAUUCAUCUUUCGUUGGACAACCGAGGCUCCUUCCACAUUUUGGCUCUGGGCCAUUGCUGCUAUAAACACGGGGUGCAGGUGUCCCGGCGUUUCAUUGCAUUUGUAUCUUUGGGGUUAAAUCCCCAACAGUGCAAUUGCUGGGUCGUAGGGCAGGUAUUUUUUAACUGUUUGAGGGAACCUCCACACAGUUUUCCAGAGUGGCUGUACCAGUUCAAUUCCCACCAACAGUGUAAGAGGGUUCCCUUUUCUGCCGCAUCCUCUCCAACCCUUUUGUUGUUUCCUGCCUUGUAAUUUUCCCCAUUCUCACUGGGUGUUGAGGUUGUAUCUCAUUGUAGUUUGAUUUGUAUUUCCCUGAUGGCAAGUGAUGCAGCACUUUCUCAUAUGCAGUUGGCAUGUCUAUGUCUUCCUCUGUGAGAUUUCUGUUCAUGUCUUUUGCCCAUUUCAUGAUUGGAUUGUUGUUUCUUUGCUGUUGAGUUUAAUAAGUUCUUUAUAGAUCUGGAAACUAGCCCUUUAUCUGAUAUGUCAUUUGCAAAUAUCUUCUCCCUUCUGUAGGUUGUUUGAGUUUUGUGGACUGUAUCCUUUGCUGUGCAAAAGCUCUUAUCUUGAUGAAGUCCAAUAGUUCAUUUUUGCUUUGUUUCUUUUGUCUUCGUGGAUGUAUCUUGCAAAGAAGUUACUAUGGCCGAGUCAAAAAGGGUGUUGCCUGUGUUCUUCUCUAGGAUUUUGAUGGAAUCUUGUCUCACAUUUAGAUCUUUAAAUCCAUUUUGAGUUUAUCUUUGUGUAUGGUGAAAGAGAAGUGGUCUAGCUUCAUUCUUCUGCAUGUGGAUGUCCAAUUUUCCCACCACCAUUUAUUGAAGAGACUGUCUUUCUUCCAAUGGAUAUCUUUCCUUCUUUAUCGAAUAUUAGUUGGCCAUAAAGUUCAGGGUCCACUUCUGGGUUCUCUAUUCUCUUCCAUUGAUCUAUGUGUCUGUUUUUGUGCCAGGACCACACUGUCUUGAUGACCACAGCUUUGUAGUACAACCUGAAAUCUGGCAUUGUGAUGCCCCCAGAUAUGGUUUUCUUUUUUAAAAUUCCCCUGGCUAUUCGGGGUCUUUUCUGAUUCCACACAAAUCUCAAAAUAAUUUGUUCUAACUCUCUGAAGAAAGUCCAUGGCAUUUUGAUAGGGAUUGCAUUAAAAGUGUAAAUUGCCCUGGGUAACAUUGACAUUUUCACAAUAUUAAUUCUGCCAAUCCAUGAGCAUGGAAUAUUUUUCCAUCUCUUUGUGUCUUCCUCAAUUUCUUUCAGAAGUGUUCUAUAGUUUUUAGGGUAUAGAUCCUUUACCUCUUUGGUGAGGUUUAUUCCUAGGUAUCUUAUGCUUUUGGGUGCAAUUGUAAAUGGGAUUGACUCCUUAAUUUCUCUUUCUUCAGCAUCAUUCUUAGUGUAUAGAAAUGCCAUUGAUUUCUGGGCAUUGAUUUUGUAUCCUACCACGCUACCAAAUUGCUGUAUGAGUUCUAUCAAUCUUGGGUGGAGGCUUUUGGGUUUUCUAUGUAGAGUAUCAUGUCAUCGGUGAAGAGGGAGAGUUUGACCUCUUCUUUGCCAAUUUGAAUGCUUUUAAUGUCUUUUUGUUUCCUGAUUGCUGAGGCUAGGACUUCCAAUACUAUGUUGAAUAGCAGUGGUUAGAGUGGACAUCCCUGUCUUGUUCCUGAUCCUAGGGGAAAGGCUCCCAGUGCUUCCCCAUUGAGAAUGAUAUUUGCUGUGGGCUUUUCGUAGAUGGCUUUUAAGAUGUCGAGGAAUGUUCCCUC